ACAACCCUAUCCCUUUAAUUACCCAAACCCCCGAGACCCUAUUAGUUUCUUAGAGACACCGCCCAAACGCUCCCAUCCUCCUCUUUUCCUCUCCUGUAAAACCUAGCAGCCGCAUCCCAUAUCCUCUCCAACUCCGACCCUAACAUGGAAUCUCCCCGUGAUUUUCCUUUUAUAUAUGCUCUAUCUCUUUGUUACUGACAUGGUUAUGGUAUCAUCUAAUACUUGCCUAUUUUUGGUAAGUACCCGGUUUUGAAUCAAGUACGAUCGUCCCUAAAUCUUCAAAAAUCUUGACGGUGUUUCAUCUAUAUACAUUCAUAGAAAUGUUAUAUGGGUCCGAUUUACCAAGAUCUUCGAUCAAUUUUUGAUUUCGGUCAAAACUAGGGUUUACCUAAUUUUCCUCCUAGUUUGAUUCUAAAUCGAUUUUGCAUGUUAUUCUUUCCUUUAUUUUGUUUGAAUGAUUAUUUUUCCUUGUUUUGUUCGUUUAAUUUUGCUACUAUAUAAACCCUUCUCCAAUCCUACUAAAACAGACCUUAAUCACUAUUAUUACUUUCAUUCUCACUUAUUCUACUGUUCUAAAACUUGAGACCUCUGUUGGCUGAAAGUCAAGGCUAUCAGAAUUCGAUUGUUGCUCCUUUCUAAAUGUGAACAUUGCUGGGGUUCACUUGAAACCCUUGGGAACUCUGAUGCACUGAGAUUCUGGGAAUCCUUCUAUUCUUUCCUUAUUACUGCUAAUUGAGUUGUUGCUGGAACUUAAUUUUCUUAUUUUCUUAUUCAUUAAUUUGCAACUAGCGAGUACCUUGACAUUUGCAAUUUUAUUCUCUUUACUUGUGGUCAUGUUCUGAAUAUCCAUGUUGUUCGAAUUUUGUGAACCAAUAUGAUUUUAAUGUGGUGUUAUAUUUGUUUGAAAUCCCAUCCGCUUUGAAGUUAGUCUAUGGCCUUAUAUUUUCUAGCAUCUAAACUUGCCUAAAUCCUAAACUUGGACAUCUCACUAUGCGUAGCUUCUGACCAUCUUGAAUCUGCUUAGUCUACUAUGUUUAUGUAUACAUGAGUUUCCUAUGUUUGUUGCUGGCUCAUAUUCAAGCCUUGCUUUGAAUUCCUGUAAUAAGACUCUUAGGACACUAAUUCAUGCCUAGAAUUUGUUCGACUGUACUUCUCCAUGCUAAGUCAUUCAUGCACAACUUGCUACAUGCUCACUUUCUUAAAAUGAUCAUGUAUGUGUGAAUUCUAAAUUCUUCAGACAAGCAUGUUUCUCUGCCGCUUGUGAACCCUAACCCUUACUAUAGUUGCAUGCUUUACUAUCAUCUUAUUUUGUAGACCUAUGCCUGCUAGUGCUAGGUUUGCUUGAGUUUAAUGCCAAAGGAUAUCUUUGAUGUGCAUAAUUGAACCUGCUAUAUGUGAUCAAUUUGCAUUAAGUACUUUUCUUUCUGAUUAGUUGUGGUGCUGAGUUUUUGAUACUGUUAACCCUGAUUUUCUUUAAUAAGUUUUCCCUAUUAAAACUUCUGCUUGCCAUGAAUUGACCUACAAUUCUUAAUUAUAUCUUGCCUUACAUUCUUGUGUCUAGGUCUUAUUGGGAAUAUUGUUGUUGGUAUCUGUCCCAAGGGUAUUUUUUGAGAUGUCAUUAUUACUUGUUAAUCUUUUAGAAUCAAUUCAUUGAACUUGUUUGGUAACUUGAAAGUGCUAUAUAUGUGCUCAUUCUGUGUGAUUAUAAGGUCCUUGUGUAUGUGUACUCUUCUGCCUAUUAGAUAUCUCCCUUAGGAUAAUACUUCAAAAGUCUUUCUGCUGAUGAUUGUGAUAAUAGGAAUCCAUGUGUAUGUGUCUUUGCAUGAACUCUAAGUUGCCUAAAUAGCAUGUUUGAAUUCAUGUUCCUAUGUUUCUGUUGUUUGUUAAUGUGUAAGCAAAGAUAAUGUCUUCAUGUUUGGGACCUGGCUUAUCAGGCCGUGUGUAUUGUUGGUAUGAGCAUUGGUCAGGUAUGCUUUAAUCAUCCUUGUGAGUCUGGGAUGUUGGGCUUGUUGAGUGUGUGAAGGGCAAGGUUGGUGAAAACUUUUGAGUAGCUUGAGGCUGGGAUACUCAAAUUCAUACUGAGAAAUAUAAUUAGACCUUCAGGGGCUCUGAUUUCUUUUCAAAUUCCUAAAAUAAUUUUGGCUCAUUGGAGUGUUUGGAAUGGUUUGAACUUAGUUUUGAUUUGGGUUUGAAGUUUUUUAGCCGAUUAUACUAUACCUUUUUUGAGCUCUUGUGCGAUUGAACUCAUGAUCUAUGAUUGAACUAUCACAUUGCAUUGUUCCUAUAGGUAUGUCCGAAAUGCAUUGCCUUCAUAUUUCUCCCGUGUAUAUGUUCAUCUAUGGGUCCUAUCUUAUUCUUCACUAACGAUGACAUCUUCAUUAAUCGACUCCAUUCCGAGUAGUACUCAGAUUAACAAUUGUGGAACCAAUGCCAAUCCUAGCGUAUCCGUAGGAUGCACAUACAAAGGAUCGUUACAAUCCAAUUGAGGAUUGAUUGCAUGUAGUGUUCUAGAUGAAUUCGCUGUCACACUUUUGAGGAAAAUCACCAGUUGAGUUAAAUUUAGAAAAAGGGUUGGGGGAAAUUUUGACCUAGGAGAGAUAGAGGUGAACAACAACAACAACCCAGUAUAAUCCCAUAAAGUGGUGUCUGGGGAGAGUAAUAUGCAGACGAGCUUUACCCUUACCCGAAAGGGCAGAGAGGCUGUUUUCAAUCGACCCUUGGCUCGUGAAGGAAAGGAAAAAUAAAAACAAAAAUAAAAGAGCAUUAGUAAGUCCAGCAGAAAUAGCGUAAAUAAUUAUCUAAACAUAAGAAUCAUAAAUAAAAUAGCAUGCAACAUAAUAAUACAGUGACUAACAUAAAUAACUAUCAUAAGGAGACACAAUCUAUAACACAAAUCAUAUAUGGAUAGUAUUAUCAAGCCUCACUCAAUCCCCGGUGAGUAGUACUAAAACUCUAGGGGACCCUAUCGUACAACUC
Molecule: long non-coding RNA, 2976 nt
Filed under: Nicotiana benthamiana
Lineage: Eukaryota; Viridiplantae; Streptophyta; Magnoliopsida; Solanales; Solanaceae
Description: long non-coding RNA (NBEN_LNC041247)
Source: RNAcentral